UGCAGGUUGUCAGAGACCAGCUGGACGUCUCUGUUCUCAGCUCUGAAGUCCAACCCGAACCAUCUGACAGGACUGGGCCUGAGCGGAACCAACCUGGAAGGUUCUGGACUGAAGGAGCUCUGUGGUUUUCUACAGACUGAAAGCUGCAGACUGAAAACAUUGUUGUUGGAUAACUGCAGUUUGUCAAAGAUCAGCUGUGAUUUUCUGGCCUCAGCUCUGAAGUCCAACAGCCUCCAUCUGACAUAUCUGGACCUGA
Non-coding RNA from Poecilia reticulata (guppy), 256 nucleotides. NCBI's taxonomy places the organism in Eukaryota, Metazoa, Chordata, Actinopteri, Cyprinodontiformes, Poeciliidae. The record is from RefSeq and is a predicted model, not a curated record.